CCUACGGGCGGCAGCAGUGAGGAAUAUUGGUCAAUGGACGCAAGUCUGAACCAGCCAUGCCGCGUGCAGGAAGACGGCCCUAUGAGUUGUAAACUGCUUUUGUACGAGGGUAAACUCACUUACGUGUACCUCUCUGAAUGUAUCGUACGAAUAAGGAUCGGCUAACCCCGUGCCAGCAGCCGCGGUAAUACGGUGGAUUCAAGCGUUACCCGGAUUUAUUGGGUUUAAAGGGUGCGUAGGCGGUCGGAUAAGUUAGGGGUGAAAUCCCGAGGCUCAACUUCGGAAUUGCCUCUGAUACUGGUAGGCUAGAGAGUGGGUGAGGUAGGCGGAAUGUAUGGUGUAGCGGUGAAAUGCUUAGAGAUCAGACAGAACACCGGUUGCGAAGGCGGCUUACCAGGCUACAUCUGACGUUGAGGAGCGAAAGCGUGGGGAGCAAACAGGAUUAGAUACCCCGGAAGUC
Molecule: ribosomal RNA, 460 nt
Filed under: uncultured bacterium
Lineage: Bacteria
Description: partial 16S ribosomal RNA
Rfam family: Bacterial small subunit ribosomal RNA
Source: RNAcentral